This 478-nucleotide ribosomal RNA is filed under the name uncultured bacterium. RNAcentral's name for it is "partial 16S ribosomal RNA". It matches the Rfam family "Bacterial small subunit ribosomal RNA", at positions 28 to 523 of the family's 1533-position model. The record is from RNAcentral.
GACGAACGCUGGCGGCGUGCUUAACACAUGCAAGUCGAACGGUAAGGCCCUUCGGGGUACACGAGUGGCGAACGGGUGAGUAACACGUGGGUGAUCUGCCCUGCACUUCGGGAUAAGCCUGGGAAGCUGGGUCUAAUACCGGAUAGGACCCUGGGAUGCAUGUCCUGGGGUGGAAAGCUUUUGCGGUGUGGGAUGGGCCCGCGGCCUAUCAGCUUGUUGGUGGGGUGAUGGCCUACCAAGGCGACGACGGGUAGCCGGCCUGAGAGGGUGACCGGCGACACUGGGACUGAGAUACGGCCCAGACUCCUACGGGAGGCAGCAGUGGGGAAUAUUGCACAAUGGGCGCAAGCCUGAUGCAGCGACGCCGCGUGAGGGAUGACGGCCUUCGGGUUGUAAACCUCUUUCAGCACCGACGAAGCGCAAGUGACGGUAGGUGCAGAAGAAGGACCGGCCAACUACGUGCCAGCAGCCGCAGUAA